CCUACGGGAGGCAGCAGUGGGGAAUUUUGGACAAUGGGCGAAAGCCUGAUCCAGCAAUGCCGCGUGAGUGAAGAAGGCCUUCGGGUUGUAAAGCUCUUUUGUCAGGGAAGAAACGGUGGGAGCUAAUAUCUCUUGCUAAUGACGGUACCUGAAGAAUAAGCACCGGCUAACUACGUGCCAGCAGCCGCGGUAAUACGUAGGGUGCAAGCGUUAAUCGGAAUUACUGGGCGUAAAGCGUGCGCAGGCGGUUUUGUAAGUCUGAUGUGAAAUCCCCGGGCUCAACCUGGGAAUUGCAUUGGAGACUGCAAGGCUAGAAUCUGGCAGAGGGGGGUAGAAUUCCACGUGUAGCAGUGAAAUGCGUAGAUAUGUGGAGGAACACCGAUGGCGAAGGCAGCCCCCUGGGUCAAGAUUGACGCUCAUGCACGAAAGCGUGGGGAGCAAACAGGAUUAGAUACCCUGGUAGUCCACGCCCUAAACGAUGUCUACUAGUUGUCGGGUCUUAAUUGACUUGGUAACGCAGCUAACGCGUGAAGUAGACCGCCUGGGGAGUCGGUCGCAGAUUAAACGUUAAAUGAAAUUGAGG
RNAcentral lists this ribosomal RNA (583 nucleotides) under uncultured bacterium. RNAcentral's name for it is "bacterial SSU rRNA". It matches the Rfam family "Bacterial small subunit ribosomal RNA", at positions 338 to 916 of the family's 1533-position model. The record is from RNAcentral.